RNAcentral lists this ribosomal RNA (775 nucleotides) under uncultured Neocallimastigales. RNAcentral's name for it is "partial large subunit ribosomal RNA". It matches the Rfam family "Eukaryotic large subunit ribosomal RNA", at positions 22 to 621 of the family's 3401-position model. Lineage: Eukaryota; Fungi; Neocallimastigomycota; Neocallimastigomycetes; Neocallimastigales. The record is from RNAcentral.
AUAUCAGUCAUGCAUAGCAUAUCAAUAAGCGGAGGAAAAGAAACUAACAAGGAUUCCCUUAGUAACGGCGAGUGAAGCGGGAAGAGCUCAAAUUUGAAAUCUUCAAGGUUUUACCUUGACGAAUUGUAGUUUAAAGAAGUGUUUUCUGUUGAAGUUUUGGUAAAAGUUCUUUGGAAUAGGACAUCAUAGAGGGUGAGAAUCCCGUAUUUGACCAUUACUUUCAGCUUUGUGAUACACUUUCAAAGAGUCGGAUUGUUUGGGAAUGCAGUCCAAAAUGGGUGGUAAAUUUCAUCUAAAGCUAAAUAUUGGCGAGAGACCGAUAGCGAACAAGUACCGUGAGGGAAAGAUGAAAAGGAACUUUGAAAAGAGAGUUAAACAGUACGUGAAAUUGUCAAAAGGGAAGCGUUUGACACCAGUGUUGUUUUCUCGAAAAUCAAUUAAAAAGAGUUGGAUUUUGUGUUGUAUUGACUUUAUCAGCUUUCUUCACUCUUUUCCAGCUUUUUUUAAUGCACUUUUCGUUUAACAAGUCAACAUCAGUUUCUUUUGUUGUAAAAAGGUCAUUGGAAGGUGGCUUUCUCUUCGGAGAAAGUGUUUAUAGCCUUUGACUCAUGCAAUCGGAGAGACUGAGGUCUGCAGCGUAGAUCCUUCGGGGUUAGAUACAUUUGUGCUAAGUUAUAGCUUUUCAUAGACAACUUGUUGACUACGUUUAGUCUUGUAGCUUACUCGCUUAUGCUAUUUUACCUACGCUUAGGAUGUUGAACUCUAUCACACACAG